AAAGAGCUUAACCUGAGAAAGCACAGUGGCAUGGAACAGGACUGCUUGAUUGGUCAUAUUAGAGAGUGAGGCCUAGUGGUGCUGGCGCUGCACAGAGCAGAGCAGACAGACUCAGCUGUCACACGUGAAAUAAAUAAAUAAAAACAUGCUGAGAGAAGAUACAUAACCAGCAAGCAGUACAUAGGAGAGUGCAAGCAAAUCUCAGGGAAUCCUGGCUGCGAGACUCUUUUGGAACCAGUGGAGCUGCCAAGCUUGUGUGAUCACUUUUCUUUCUGCAGCUGCUGUGGUGGGAAGCUUAGAAAUAUUUAAGGCACUGGUAUAAAUGUAUUGAUACAAGUGACUACAG
This 346-nucleotide long non-coding RNA is filed under the name Numida meleagris (helmeted guineafowl). RNAcentral's name for it is "lncRNA (ENSNMEG00000013862.1)". Lineage: Eukaryota; Metazoa; Chordata; Aves; Galliformes; Numididae. The record is from RNAcentral.